Molecule: transfer RNA, 90 nt
Filed under: Grosmannia clavigera kw1407
Lineage: Eukaryota; Fungi; Ascomycota; Sordariomycetes; Ophiostomatales; Ophiostomataceae
Rfam family: tRNA
About the family: Transfer RNA (tRNA) molecules are approximately 80 nucleotides in length. Their secondary structure includes four short double-helical elements and three loops (D, anti-codon, and T loops).
Source: Rfam by way of RNAcentral
UCCCCCGUGGCGCAAUUGGAUAGCGCGUUAGACUGUUAUCAGAUAAAUUCUGCAAUCUAAAGGUUGGUGGUUCAAACCCACCCGGGGGAG